AUGCUACGGCGUGCCUGCACUCUGCUUCGUUGGUGCAUCGACCGAGCACCACCUCCCUUCUCUCUCCACUACGAUGGGCCAACGGCAGCGCGGGGUAGACAAGUGUCUGAAGUUCAGUUGUAUCAGUGUUUCACCCCAUUAGAAAAUUCAUGUUAUGCUCAUUACUUCGGCAACUGGAGGACGCAUGCCGACUGCUCACCCUUCCAGCGAUUGUCGGUUUACGCGGACGACGUCAUUUUGUUCAUCAAACCCACAGUCGCAGAUCUAAGCUUUACCACAAUGGCUUUGCAAAUGUUUGGUGAAGCGUCUGGAUUACAUGUCAACUUCCCCAAGUCUUCGGCGAUCAUGAUUCAUGCCGAUGAGACAGACACUGAGAGGGUCUCUCAUGCUCUGCCGUGGCGUAUGGACUCUUCCCCGUGCAAGUAUCUGGGCUUGAUGCUCUCCAUCAAGCAGCUCACCCGCUCGGAUUGGCAGCCAGUGGUGGAUGACGUGCUCAACUUCUUACCAGGAUGGCAGAGGGGCAUGGUGACAAGACCGGGCAGGCUGACUUUGGUCAAUACGGUGAUUCGGGCCCGGCCCACUCAUCACCUGCUUGUCGCCGAUGCACCAAAAUGGGAUCUGGAGCGUGUAGACAAGAGCUGCCGUGCUUUCUUUUGGGCUGGAACUGAGCAUAUUCAUGGCGGCAAAUGCUUGGUCGCUUGGCAGAAGGUGUGCCGUCCUAAGCAGCUUGGUGGAUUGGGUGUGCUGGAUCUUCAGAAGCAUGGUCUCGCCCUUAGGCUCAGAUGGGAAUGGCUGCGGCGUACGGAUGACGCUAGACCGUGGCAGGGGCUACCACUGUCGAUGGAUGCUCAGGUGCAGUCAGCGUUCAACAGCUUGGUGCACUGGAAGGUUGGAAAUGGAGAGCGAAUCCUAUUCUGGAAAGAUAGAUGGAUCGAGGGUUGGACCGUUGCUGAGAUUGCGCCAUUGGUACGGGCGAAGGUCCGCACGCAAGUGGUGAAUAAACGGACAGUUAGCAAGGCGUGGCAUCUCCAUCGAUGCGCUAAUGACAUCUCGGGAGAGUUAUGCUGA
Molecule: ribosomal RNA, 1068 nt
Filed under: Triticum aestivum (bread wheat)
Lineage: Eukaryota; Viridiplantae; Streptophyta; Magnoliopsida; Poales; Poaceae
Description: partial small subunit ribosomal RNA
Source: RNAcentral